GGUGAACCUGCGGAUGGAUCAUUUU
Molecule: unclassified non-coding RNA, 25 nt
Filed under: Dictyostelium discoideum
Lineage: Eukaryota; Evosea; Eumycetozoa; Dictyosteliales; Dictyosteliaceae
Source: RNAcentral